This 460-nucleotide ribosomal RNA is filed under the name uncultured bacterium. RNAcentral's name for it is "partial 16S ribosomal RNA". It matches the Rfam family "Bacterial small subunit ribosomal RNA", at positions 338 to 795 of the family's 1533-position model. The record is from RNAcentral.
CCUACGGGUGGCAGCAGUGAGGAAUAUUGGUCAAUGGACGCAAGUCUGAACCAGCCAAGCCGCGUGAAGGAAGACGGCCCUAUGAGUUGUAAACUGCUUUUGUAAGAGGAUAAACGCAGAUACGCGUAUCUGUCUGACAGUAUCGUACGAAUAAGGAUCGGCUAACUCCGUGCCAGCAGCCGCGGUAAUACGGAGGAUUCAAGCGUUAUUCGGAUUUAUUGGGUUUAAAGGGUGCGUAGGCGGGCGGUUAAGUUAGAGGUGAAAUCUCGAGGCUCAACUUCGGAAUUGCCUUUGAUACUGGUCGGCUAGAGUGUAGUUGCGGUAGGCGGAAUGUGUGGUGUAGCGGUGAAAUGCUUAGAGAUCAUGAAGAACACCGAUUGCGAAGGCAGCCUACCAAGCUGCUACUGACGUUGAGGCACGAAAGCGUGGGGAGCAAACAGGAUUAGAUACCCCGGUAGUC